AUUCCGUGAUGAGGACAUUUUCUCAACAGUUCCUUGAACCUUUCCCAUGCAUCAUACAAUGAUUCUCCAUCAUUAUUAUAGAAAUUAUUCAUCUCACCCCUUAGUUU
Humulus lupulus (European hop) is the source of this 107-nucleotide small nucleolar RNA. NCBI's taxonomy places the organism in Eukaryota, Viridiplantae, Streptophyta, Magnoliopsida, Rosales, Cannabaceae. The record is from RefSeq and is a predicted model, not a curated record.